UACGGAGGGGGCUAGCGUUGUUCGGAAUUACUGGGCGUAAAGCGCACGUAGGCGGAUUUGUAAGUUAGGGGUGAAAUCCCGGGGCUCAACCUCGGAACUGCCUUUGAUACUGCAAAUCUAGAGUCCGGAAGAGGUGAGUGGAAUUCCUAGUGUAGAGGUGAAAUUCGUAGAUAUUAGGAAGAACACCAGUGGCGAAGGCGGCUCACUGGUCCGGUACUGACGCUGAGGUGCGAAAGCGUGGGGAGCAAACAGG
This 253-nucleotide ribosomal RNA is filed under the name uncultured bacterium. RNAcentral describes it as "partial 16S ribosomal RNA". It matches the Rfam family "Bacterial small subunit ribosomal RNA", at positions 524 to 776 of the family's 1533-position model. The record is from RNAcentral.